RNAcentral lists this ribosomal RNA (274 nucleotides) under uncultured bacterium. RNAcentral's name for it is "partial 16S ribosomal RNA". It matches the Rfam family "Bacterial small subunit ribosomal RNA", at positions 523 to 796 of the family's 1533-position model. The record is from RNAcentral.
AUACGGAGGGGGUUAGCGUUGUUCGGAAUUACUGGGCGUAAAGCGUACGUAGGCGGAUUAGUAAGUUAGGGGUGAAAUCCCGAGGCUCAACCUCGGAACUGCCUCUAAAACUGCUAGUCUUGAGUUCGAGAGAGGUGAGUGGAAUUCCUAGUGUAGAGGUGAAAUUCGUAGAUAUUAGGAGGAACACCAGUGGCGAAGGCGGCUCACUGGCUCGAUACUGACGCUGAGGUACGAAAGUGUGGGGAGCAAACAGGAGUAGAAACCCUAGUAGUCC